Etheostoma cragini (Arkansas darter) is the source of this 291-nucleotide long non-coding RNA. RefSeq lists it as uncharacterized. NCBI's taxonomy places the organism in Eukaryota, Metazoa, Chordata, Actinopteri, Perciformes, Percidae. The transcript has 3 exons. The record is from RefSeq and is a predicted model, not a curated record.
UUGGCUAGAGUACUUCCGCCACCCCCGUAAACGGACCGGAAGUCACUUUCUCGCUUUGCCAUGGCACCUCCAGUCGCAGUGUCGCCGCUCAUCAAGAUUACCUAAAGCCCAUUGCUGAGGAGGAGAGGAGGGUUGAGGAAGUGGAGAAGAAGGCCAGAGAGGAGCAGGAGCGCAUCUACAAACAACUGUCUGAAGCCAAUUCUGACACCAUCCUAAAAUGAACCGUCUCUGGACCUGUGCAGUUAUGUUCCAAACUCAAUAAAAACAACCUAUUUUUCAUGUAAUAAUCAG